This 502-nucleotide ribosomal RNA is filed under the name uncultured bacterium. RNAcentral's name for it is "bacterial SSU rRNA". It matches the Rfam family "Bacterial small subunit ribosomal RNA", at positions 791 to 1296 of the family's 1533-position model. The record is from RNAcentral.
UAGUCCACGCCGUAAACGAUGAUAACUAGCUGUCCGAACCCACAGGGUUUGGGUGGCGCAGCUAACGCAUUAAGUUAUCCGCCUGGGGAGUACGUCGGCAACGAUGAAACUCAAAGGAAUUGACGGGGGCCCGCACAAGCGGAGGAACAUGUGGUUUAAUUCGAUGAUACGCGAGGAACCUUACCUGGACUUAAAUGUAGAUUGCAUAGAGUGGAGACAUUCUUUUCUUCGGACUAUCUACAAGGUGCUGCAUGGUUGUCGUCAGCUCGUGCCGUGAGGUGUCGGGUUAAGUCCCAUAACGAGCGCAACCCCUAUCGUUAGUUGCUAGCAGGUAAUGCUGAGAACUCUAGCGAGACUGCCACCGUAAGGCGUGAGGAAGGUGGGGAUGACGUCAAAUCAGCACGGCCCUUACGUCCAGGGCUACACACGUGUUACAAUGGCAGGUACAAAGGGCAGCUACAUAGCGAUAUGAUGCUAAUCUCAAAAACCUGUCUCCGUUCGG